GCCCGAGUAGCUCAGACGGCAGAGCAACGCACUCGUAAUGCGUAGGUCAGGAGUUCGAUUCUCCUCUCGGGCU
RNAcentral lists this transfer RNA (73 nucleotides) under Nocardioidaceae bacterium. RNAcentral describes it as "tRNA-Thr". It matches the Rfam family "tRNA". Rfam says of the family: Transfer RNA (tRNA) molecules are approximately 80 nucleotides in length. Their secondary structure includes four short double-helical elements and three loops (D, anti-codon, and T loops). RNAcentral also lists the same sequence under 7 other names. The record is from RNAcentral. Lineage: Bacteria; Bacillati; Actinomycetota; Actinomycetes; Propionibacteriales; Nocardioidaceae.